Molecule: ribosomal RNA, 315 nt
Filed under: uncultured Acaulosporaceae
Lineage: Eukaryota; Fungi; Glomeromycota; Glomeromycetes; Diversisporales; Acaulosporaceae
Description: SSU rRNA
Rfam family: Eukaryotic small subunit ribosomal RNA
Source: RNAcentral
AGCAGCCGCGGUAAUUCCAGCUCCAAUAGCGUAUAUUAAAGUUGUUGCAGUUAAAAAGCUCGUAGUUGAAUUUCGGAAUCUGUCCAUCGGUCGUGCUUCACUGUUCGUACUGGUGUGGUGGGUUCUUACCUUCUGAAUAACCAGCAUGCCAUUCACUUGGUGCGCUGGGGAAGCAGGACUAUUACCUUGAAAAAAUUAGAGUGCUCAAAGCAGGCUAGUGCCUGAAUACAUUAGCAUGGAAUAAUAAAAUAGGACGGCAUGGUUCUAUUUUGUUGGUUUUUAAGGAGGGGGCAACCUCUCCGUGGGACCUGAGUA